Molecule: transfer RNA, 69 nt
Filed under: Acrossocheilus kreyenbergii
Lineage: Eukaryota; Metazoa; Chordata; Actinopteri; Cypriniformes; Cyprinidae
Description: tRNA-Glu
Rfam family: tRNA
About the family: Transfer RNA (tRNA) molecules are approximately 80 nucleotides in length.
Source: RNAcentral
GUUCCUGUAGUAAAAUGACAACGGUGGUUCUUCAAAUCAUUGGUCUCAGUUAAAGUCUGAGCAGGAAUU